AGAAGUUGCAAUGAAGUAUGUGAUUUCAUUUUCUUAGCAAGAAAUCUCCACACACUCUCUAAUUAUCACUGCCUUUCGUUCAGAACAACACAGAAGACCCACCAAAAUAACUCAUUAACCCAGCACCCAGGACACAACAAAGAAAUGGAAAAACCCAAGAAAUAGCAAAAGGGUAGAAAGAGAGUGAAGUAGAUAAAAAGAAAAAAAAAAGAAUCUUGUAGCUCGGAAAUAUAAGCUUUAACAAGGAAAUGAAACUAGUAGAACUCAAAGCUGUAGGCUUUAGAUACUGCAAUCUAUAAAAAUAGGUUGGUUUGAUUAUCUUUAAACAAUACUAGUGUGAGUAUAAAUCCAAGAUUUGGCAACCACCCACGAAAGCAAACUCAGUUUGAAUGAUGAGUAAAGAGGAAAUGUAGAACCGUGAAUGUUAAAGGAAUCAAAUACAGCUGUGAGGGAAACUUGGAUUCAAAG
Molecule: unclassified non-coding RNA, 468 nt
Filed under: Hevea brasiliensis (rubber tree)
Lineage: Eukaryota; Viridiplantae; Streptophyta; Magnoliopsida; Malpighiales; Euphorbiaceae
Source: RNAcentral